GCUCCUGUGUGUUGAUCUUCUACUUAAAACCCUCACCUUGAAGCUCCAAGAUCAACAAAACUAUAAAUACAAAACAACAGUAAAACCACACUAGAUUGAGAUGGGGAGGUUGCCUAUCUUUUUUUUAACUAGAACAAAACAGAGAGCCCUCCCCUGCCGAUUGGACAAGGGAGGCAAACUAUGAAGAACUUGGUUAACUCAAGAGAACUAUAGCUCGGAAAAAGUCAAGAGAAAAGUUCUAUACUUGAAUUGUCAAUAGUUUUUUUAGCCAUUGUGUUUUG
RNAcentral lists this unclassified non-coding RNA (281 nucleotides) under Hevea brasiliensis (rubber tree). The record is from RNAcentral. Lineage: Eukaryota; Viridiplantae; Streptophyta; Magnoliopsida; Malpighiales; Euphorbiaceae.